AAAAAGAAAGCAUGAUGGUUAUGCGGUUGGCUUGAAACUUAUUAAUGUGGGUUCAACUCCUACUCUUUUUG
Molecule: transfer RNA, 71 nt
Filed under: Uraeotyphlus cf. oxyurus MW-212
Lineage: Eukaryota; Metazoa; Chordata; Amphibia; Gymnophiona; Ichthyophiidae
Description: tRNA-Ser
Rfam family: tRNA
About the family: Transfer RNA (tRNA) molecules are approximately 80 nucleotides in length.
Source: RNAcentral